AGAGUAGCCUGAUCAACUUUGACGAACUCGGCGUCCCAGUCCUUCAAAUCGCCGUCACCACCAGAAGAGGGACGAUCUUCGGACUUGGGGGUCUCGACGUGCUUCUUGCAAUACUCAAUUACCUUAGAAAGGAUCUUGCUUGUGACAUUAGGUAGAGGGAUACCGUUGUCAGCACAGUCGUCCUCUAUCAUGUGCUUUAUCGUCUGAGAUUCAAGCGCCACCGCCUCGUCCACCUCAAAAGUCUCUCCAUCAGAACUUUUCAGUGUGAUGCUUCGACGGCCGUUGACAGUGACAUUGCUAGUUGACAUUGCUAGUUUUGCCCGGUGAUGCUUCGACGGCCGCUGAAAAU
RNAcentral lists this unclassified non-coding RNA (349 nucleotides) under Hevea brasiliensis (rubber tree). Lineage: Eukaryota; Viridiplantae; Streptophyta; Magnoliopsida; Malpighiales; Euphorbiaceae. The record is from RNAcentral.